This 515-nucleotide ribosomal RNA is filed under the name Providencia vermicola. Its description in RNAcentral is "partial 16S ribosomal RNA". It matches the Rfam family "Bacterial small subunit ribosomal RNA", at positions 366 to 879 of the family's 1533-position model. The record is from RNAcentral. Lineage: Bacteria; Pseudomonadati; Pseudomonadota; Gammaproteobacteria; Enterobacterales; Morganellaceae.
GCACAAUGGGCGCAANCCUGAUGCAGCCAUGCCGCGUGUAUGAAGAAGGCCCUAGGGUUGUAAAGUACUUUCAGUCGGGAGGAAGGCGUUGAUGCUAAUAUCAUCAACGAUUGACGUUACCGACAGAAGAAGCACCGGCUAACUCCGUGCCAGCAGCCGCGGUAAUACGGAGGGUGCAAGCGUUAAUCGGAAUUACUGGGCGUAAAGCGCACGCAGGCGGUUGAUUAAGUUAGAUGUGAAAUCCCCGGGCUUAACCUGGGAAUGGCAUCUAAGACUGGUCAGCUAGAGUCUUGUAGAGGGGGGUAGAAUUCCAUGUGUAGCGGUGAAAUGCGUAGAGAUGUGGAGGAAUACCGGUGGCGAAGGCGGCCCCCUGGACAAAGACUGACGCUCAGGUGCGAANGCGUGGGGAGCAAACAGGAUUANAUACCNUGGUAGUCCNCNCUGUAACNAUGUCCAUUUGANGNUGUUCCCUUGAGNAGNGCUUUCGANCUANCCGNUUAAUCCACCCCUGGGGA